GAUGAAGAACGCAGCGAAAUGCGAUAAGUAAUGUGAAUUGCAGAAUUCAGUGAAUCAUCGAAUCUUUGAAGGCACAUUGCGCCCGUCAGUAUUCUGGCGGGCAUGCCUGUUCGAGCGUCAUUACGCCCCUCAAGUCCCCUGUGGACUUGGUGUUGGGGAUCGGCGAGGCUGGUUUUCCAGCACAGCCGUCCCUUAAAUUAAUUGGCGGUCUCGCCGUGGCCCUCCUCUGCGCAGUAGUAAAACACUCGCAACAGGAGCCCGGCGCGGUCCACUGCCGUAAAACCCCCCAACUUUUUAUAGUUGACCUCGAAUCAGGUAGGACUACCCGCUGAACUUAAGCAUAUCAAUAAGCGGAGGA
RNAcentral lists this unclassified non-coding RNA (358 nucleotides) under soil metagenome. RNAcentral describes it as "partial contains 5.8S ribosomal RNA, internal transcribed spacer 2, and large subunit ribosomal RNA". The stretch from base 1 to 120 matches the Rfam family "5.8S ribosomal RNA", at positions 35 to 154 of the family's 154-position model. The record is from RNAcentral.